AAGAGAAAGGCCAGUUCUGUGGACAAAGUCAAGUGCCUGCCAUGACACUCAGGCACCACUUAGCGUCACACUCCGCUCAGUGUCAUAUUCCCGAGAACUUCCCCACUACCUCAGAGGCUCCUCCCAGGUCUGUGGGACUGGAGUGGUUUCCAGAACUCUAUCCUGGUUACGUUGGACUGGGGGUGUUGCCAAGGAGGCCUCAGCCUUGGAACUGGGCAGCUCAGAUGCCUCCUCUUGCCACUUUCCAGGGCAGGAGCGUCUCAAAAGGCUGGGUGCUGUGCAACACCACCAUAAAGAGGAGUGGUGUCGGACGCCUCUCGAUGCUGUUUGCUGGCUACUUUGUCCUGUGCUGUAGCUGGAGCUUCAAGCAUCUGAAGCUGCAGCGCUGGCGUAAGUAAGGAUGAGCGUGCCCGGGAGCCACGGAAUGUGACAGAGACUGCAGAGAAGAGACACUUUAAAUUUGUGCCAGGUCAGGGAGAGUGCAAAUAAUAAAAUGCUGAAAUCGC
RNAcentral lists this long non-coding RNA (506 nucleotides) under Rattus norvegicus (Norway rat). RNAcentral describes it as "long non-coding RNA NONRATT005034". The record is from RNAcentral. Lineage: Eukaryota; Metazoa; Chordata; Mammalia; Rodentia; Muridae.